GUCAAAAUUAUUCCAUUGCUCAUGGCAAUUUUAGUUUCUUAAUUCUCCUUUUUAUAACAUAAAAUAGUUGAUACAUAUCAUAGAAACUUCAAUAUAAACACCAUGGCAAUUUAUGUGCAAUAGACAUGGCAAUUCUUAACCAAAAAAGUCAUCGAAAUAAAUUAAUAUGAGCUUUGUACGAACUUGUGAUGGUGAAGAAAUAAAAACGACGCAUGGCAUAAUAAAGUUUGUCAUCACAAGGGGCAAUAUAAAGU
This 254-nucleotide long non-coding RNA is filed under the name Hordeum vulgare. RNAcentral's name for it is "long non-coding RNA (HVUL_LNC010801)". Lineage: Eukaryota; Viridiplantae; Streptophyta; Magnoliopsida; Poales; Poaceae. The record is from RNAcentral.